This 408-nucleotide ribosomal RNA is filed under the name uncultured bacterium. RNAcentral's name for it is "partial 16S ribosomal RNA". It matches the Rfam family "Bacterial small subunit ribosomal RNA", at positions 28 to 526 of the family's 1533-position model. The record is from RNAcentral.
GACGAACGCUGGCGGCGUGCCUAAUACAUGCAAGUAGAACGCAGUUACGAACGGGUGAGUAACGCGUAGGUAACCUGCCUCAUAGCGGGGGAUAACUAUUGGAAACGCUAGCUAAUACCGCAUACUGUGAGAUGGACCUGCGUUGUAUUAGCUAGUUGGUGAGGUAAAGGCUCACCAAGGCGAAGAUCCAUAGCCGACCUGAGAGGGUGAUUGGCCACACUGGGACUGAGGCAAGGCCCAGACUCCUACGGGAGGGAGCAAGAGGGAAUCUUCGGGAAUGGAAGGAAGUCUGACCGGUGAAAGCCGCGUGGAUGAAGAAGGGUUUCGGAUCGUAAAACUCUGUUGUUAGGGGAUCGGUAACUAACCAGAAAGGGACGGCUAACUACGUGCCAGCAGCCGCGGUAAUUC